RNAcentral lists this ribosomal RNA (207 nucleotides) under uncultured bacterium. Its description in RNAcentral is "partial 16S ribosomal RNA". It matches the Rfam family "Bacterial small subunit ribosomal RNA", at positions 1294 to 1500 of the family's 1533-position model. The record is from RNAcentral.
CGGAUUGUAGUCUGCAACCCGACUACAUGAAGCUGGAAUCGCUAGUAAUCGCAGAUCAGAAUGCUGCGGUGAAUACGUUCCCGGGUCUUGUACACACCGCCCGUCACACCAUGGGAGUCGGAAAUGCCCGAAGCCGGUGACCCAACCAAAAGGAGGGAGCCGUCGAAGGCAGGUCUGAUAACUGGGGUGAAGUCGUAACAAGGUACC